Molecule: ribosomal RNA, 474 nt
Filed under: Hypocophus sp. MCJ-2002
Lineage: Eukaryota; Metazoa; Arthropoda; Insecta; Orthoptera; Anostostomatidae
Description: partial 16S ribosomal RNA
Rfam family: Bacterial large subunit ribosomal RNA
Source: RNAcentral
AAAAUUUGGCCUGCCCACUGAAUUUUUUUGAAGGGCCGCGGUAUUUUGACCGUGCAAAGGUAGCAUAAUCAUUAKUCUUUUAAUUGAGGNCUGGAAUGAACGGUUUCACGAGGUAUUAACUGUCUCUAAAUAAAAUUUUUGAAGUUAACUUUUUAGUUAAAAGGCUAAAAUGCAAUUAAAGGACGAGAAGACCCUAUAGAGCUUUAUAUUUAUAUUGAAUUUUUAAAUUUUUAGGAAAUAUAAUUUAAUUUUUGAAUUAGAUAUUUGAUUGGGGUGAUUUGAAAAUUUAAUAAACUUUUUUUUUUGAAUACAUAGAUGAAUGGAUAUUUGAUCCAUUUUUAGUGAUUAAAAGAUUAAGUUACCUUAGGGAUAACAGCGUAAUUCUUUUAGAGAGUACAUAUCGACAAGAGAGAUUGCGACCUCGAUGUUGGAUUAAGAAUUAUUAUUGGGUGUAGUGGUUCAAUAAAUAGGUCU